Molecule: ribosomal RNA, 253 nt
Filed under: uncultured bacterium
Lineage: Bacteria
Description: partial 16S ribosomal RNA
Rfam family: Bacterial small subunit ribosomal RNA
Source: RNAcentral
UACGGAGGGGGCGAGCGUUGUCCGAAGUUACUGGGCGUAAAGGGCGCGUAGGCGGGAACUUAAGUCCGCUGUGAAAGCCCGGGGCUCAACCCCGGAGGGUCGGUGGAGACUGGGUUUCUUGAAAGGGCUAGGGGGAGAUGGAAUUACCGGUGUAGCGGUGAAAUGCGUAGAUAUCGGUAGGAACACCAGUGGCGAAGGCGGUCUCCUGGGGCCUGUUUGACGCUGAGGCGCGAAAGCUGGGGGAGCGAACGGG